UCAGUAUUAACUCCUGGCAGAGAGUCCGUCUGCUGCUGAAUAUCUGGCGGCUGUCAGACGCUCGGCUCUGCUGCUGUCACCUCCGCUCUGUACAGGAAACUAUCAGUGACAGCUGCCACGCUGCUCCUCCUCCUCCUCCUUCAUCCUCCUUCAUCCUGCAGCUGACACCGUCCUGAACAUCCUCCUCACCCGCCAAGACGACGCCGGUGCACCGAGCUCACACGCAGAAGGAAGGUUUUCUCUUCUUGGAGGUGUAAACGGCGAAAAGCUGCAGAUUCAGGCGAGAUUUUUCACGUCAGGCUUCAGGGUGGAGGUGUCACCGCCGACGGAAAACUAGCUCUGCUGUCAGCUGCUGCCAAACGUCUCCCAUCAGAGGGUGAGGAUGGGGGGAAGAUGGAGCAUCUUCUUUGCAGACUCACCAUGAAUCCAGCUUUUUAUCCUCAGAGUGUUUCUGCAGCUUUAUUCCAACGCAGAUGUUUGUAGAAUAAACCCAGAGAACGGAGGGAUUUAAACCGAGAGCAGUACAGAGUUAAACUCCUGACUGACAGCAGCUCGUAGGAGGAAUAAACCAGGAGGAAAGAAGAGGAAACGACACUCGGAGGGCUUUGACUUUUCCACGAGUUCUCGGUUCUAAAGUGAACUUUGUGUUUCUCUAAAUGAGCCUCUGUGGCCUUUCAGAGCUCCAUAAUGUAUUUUAAUGUAUGUAAACCGAAUCAGUUGGCUCCAUCAGCAUAAAAAGGAACUUCUGGGCGGCUUUUCCCCUCCGCUGCGUCGCUGACACGAGGCCCGGCUGAUGGCUCUGAUUUAAAAUAUGGACUCUGGUCCGUCCAGGUCGACGGGCUCAUUUAAAACGAGGACGGCCGAUCCCAGGAAUAAAUGGAGUGACUCGUCAGAAGAGAGACACAAAAUGACGAAAACGAGGCGGAAUGAGAAAAAUGAGACAGAAAAUGAAAAAAACGAGACAAAAUGAUUAAAACAAAACACAAAAUGAUUAAAACGAGACAGAAAAUGAAAAAAACAAGACAGAAAAUAAAGAAAAUGUGAUGAAAUGACAAAAACGAGACAACACGGCGAAAAUGAGACACAAAAUGACAAAAAUGAGACAAAAUGACAAAAACGAAACAAAACGAUUAAAACGAGACACAAAACGAUUAAAACAAGACACAAAAUGAUUAAAACGAGACACAAAAUGAAAAAAACGAGGCAGAAAAUAAAUAAAAUGAGACACAAAAUGACAAAAAUGAGACAAAAUGACAAAAACGAAACAAAACAAUUAAAACGAGACACAAAACGAUUAAAACUAAACACAAAACGAUUAAAACAAGACACAAAAUGACGAAGAUGAGACGAAAUGUCAAAAAUGACACAAAAUGAUUAAAACGAGACAGAAAAUGAGACGAAAUGACAAAAACGAGACACAAAAUCAUUAAAAAGAGACACAAAACGACGAAAAUGAGGCGGAAUGACAAAAAUUAGACAAGAAAUGACAAAAAUGAGACACAAAAUGACAAAAAAUGAGACAGAAAAUGAAGAAAAUGAGACAAAAUGACAAAAACGAGACACAACAUGGCGAAAAUAAGACACAAAAUGACAAAAAUGGGACAAAAUGACAAAAAAACUGGAUAAAAAAACUGGACAAAAAAACGGGACAGAAAACGACGAAAACAAGACACAAAAUGACAAAAAUGAGAAAAAAUGACAAAAACGAGACACAAAAUGAUAAAAAUGAGACACAAAACAACAAAAAUAAGACACAAAAUGACAAAAAUGACACAAAACAACAAAAAGGACAGACAAAACAACAAAAAUGAGAGGAAACGACUGAAAUGAGACAAAAAAUGACAAAAACAAGCCACAGAGCGAUAAAAAAAUGAUAAAAAAUUGAGACAUAAAAUGGCAAAAAUAGAUAGAAACGACAGAAAAUGACAAAAAUGGGACAUAAAAUGAAGAAAAAGAAACACAUAACGACAAAAAUAAGACCCAAAAUGUCACAGAGGUGGCUGGGUGGGGCCGAUGAGGAAGACACGAGGCCACGCUGACGGCUUUGGAGGUAAAAUAUGGAGUGUGGUCCGUCUCCGUCCAGGUCGAGCGGCUCAUUUAAAACUUCCUGACUCUGACGGGCUGACGGCUGAUCCAGGAAUAAAUGGAGCGACUCGUCAAACUCGUCAAACUCCGACCGACUGAAGCCCCGACGACGCCGGCUCUGGCUGCAGGCCGCCGAGCUCCGAGAGCAGGAAGGGAGGACCAAAUGGGUUUUUGAAUAUGGAGUGAGUCCUUUUUAAAGCCAAUUCCUCCUGGUGCUGCCCCAGAAAUACAGAUCUGACACGUCGAAGAGGGAAAAAGAAAGAAAUCAAGGGCAAUCCAAUCACUGUCACAGAGACGGCUGGGUGGGGCCGAGCGGGAAGAGCUUCGUUCUAGGACUCCUGUUGACACAAACUAGAGCUGAAACGACACGAAGAGGACAGAAUACGACAAAAAUUAGAUGAAAAGACGACAAAAAUGAGACAAAGUGACAGAAAAGAAACAAAACUGCUCCAUAGAGACACAAAACUAUGAAAACAAAACACAAACAUGAGACACAAAACGACAAAAAUUAGACACAAAAUAAUAAAAACCAGACACAAAAUGACAAAAAUGAGACAGAAAACAAUAAAAAUGAGACACAGUGUGACCUGUGUUGGGGCUUGGUUAGUGAUGUUGGUCUGUUAAAGAAAGGCGAUGGAUGAACUCUGUGAUGGAGGCGGCUGCAGAGCGUCCAUGGAAACAUCCAUAUAUAUGCAUUUACAGGAACUUUAUGGAGACAUGGUGCUUCAUUGUUCAGUUUUUCCCGGUAGAUAAUAGUGCAUUUGCCUCUGUUUCGGUCCUUUUUUAACGAAAACGAUCUACUCCACCAGACGAUGCUGUUCGGUUGUUUACGAUUGCAGGCCACAAACAUGGUGGGCGCAUCCCAUAAUCCAUCGCGGUAUGACGUCCAUUCCCGAACUCUAUCGGACUGUGGCUUCAGUUAGCUAACGCAGCUAGCCACAUAGCCUAUCCUGGAUGGUUUCCGACCUGGAGACGGCGAGAGGGAGACCAGAUAGCGCUCUGAGUGACCGGAAAAGCUCAGAGUUCCUCUGGCAACGUGGGAAAUAAGAGGAGAUCUGUGUCGUAGAUCCAUCUGCUAAAGGGCUGAGGCUAAAGGACCGGCAGGAGUCACCGGACGUUGACAGUUCGCUGGACAAAGGUACCACUGUUAUAGGAGUGUUUCACUGACGUCACACAUCCGGGUCAGUAAGUAGCUCAGCGCCAUGGUGAGUGGCAAACUUUGAUGAGUCCGUUUGUUGGCUAUGGCUGCCACUCAGCUAAAAAAGUAUUUUGACACACUUGAUAGCACUUCAAAAGACCGACAUCAGAGGAAGUUGGAGUUAAUUGAGUAAGUUUCAGCACUCAUAAUAUGAGGAAGUAGCACUUCAGACACAGAUUUUUUUGUCGAGAUUUUGAACACAGUUUGGUGUAGAAUUCGUCCGAAAACAGCAUUAAUUCAGGUCGCCGAUUUAACUAACAAUGAACCUAAUGAUUGUUUUCUAUUAAUCAGCGUAUCAUUGGUCUGUCUAAAUUAAAUUAACUGGAAUAAACAGUGGAGUCUGGCUAUGAUCACGCUAAUGUGAGCUAACCCCCCAGUCCUGUUGGGGCAACGCGAAUCCUCGCUUUGAGAAGCAGCUAUUUUGAAAGGAUCUUUAGCAAAUAAUAACGGUUAAAACACUUAAUUUCCACAAUUGUCUAAGUUAUACAUUUGUUAUCUUUCAUUCGGCAUACAUUAAAACUCCCGAACUGUCUGUUUUUGUUUUCAAUAAAAUAAUCAAAUUUGAGUAAGACUUUUGGCUGUUUCUGUUUUCAAAGCAAUUCAUGCCCUAAAAGUUUAUUUUACCACAAUAAAGUGUAUUUAUGGAAGACGAACUGAAUGAUAGAAUACAAAGCAAAAGUGAAAAUGAGAAUUGCUUAAUAAUACGGGUUAAAAAACAGACACUAAUUGCCAAGUGUGGUGCCUCAGCCGGCUGAGUUUCACUUCAAACUACUUAUCUUGCUCGCUGACUCCUGACCACAACAAUUUCAACACUCGCCACCCAAUAUGGCGGAGCAGCUAAUGUGACGUCAUCUGAAACACUCCUACUGCUUUGUUUUGCUCGUUAGUGAGUGAAGGAUUGUCGUGGGGUUGUUUUGGUUGAAUUGCCGGCUUAGAGACUAAUUAAUGGUGUGCACAUCAUAGGUAAAGGGACAUUUCAAAGAACAUAAAGACUCUUAACCUGAUUCUUUAUUAUUAUUAUUAUGAAGUUGGCUGACUGUCAGACUGACUUGUGACUGUGUUUGUUGUUGAUGCACAUUUCCUACACAUCUGGGGUUUAAUUAAAGUGGAUUGUUUAGUUUGA
This is a long non-coding RNA of Acanthochromis polyacanthus (spiny chromis), 4406 nucleotides long. RefSeq lists it as uncharacterized. The record is from RefSeq and is a predicted model, not a curated record. Lineage: Eukaryota; Metazoa; Chordata; Actinopteri; Pomacentridae. The transcript has 2 exons.